This 454-nucleotide ribosomal RNA is filed under the name Staphylococcus haemolyticus. RNAcentral's name for it is "bacterial SSU rRNA". It matches the Rfam family "Bacterial small subunit ribosomal RNA", at positions 35 to 472 of the family's 1533-position model. Lineage: Bacteria; Bacillati; Bacillota; Bacilli; Caryophanales; Staphylococcaceae. The record is from RNAcentral.
GCUGGCGGCGUGCCUAAUACAUGCAAGUCGAGCGAACAGACAAGGAGCUUGCUCCUUUGACGUUAGCGGCGGACGGGUGAGUAACACGUGGGUAACCUACCUAUAAGACUGGGAUAACUUCGGGAAACCGGAGCUAAUACCGGAUAAUAUUUCGAACCGCAUGGUUCGAUAGUGAAAGAUGGUUUUGCUAUCACUUAUAGAUGGACCCGCGCCGUAUUAGCUAGUUGGUAAGGUAACGGCUUACCAAGGCGACGAUACGUAGCCGACCUGAGAGGGUGAUCGGCCACACUGGAACUGAGACACGGUCCAGACUCCUACGGGAGGCAGCAGUAGGGAAUCUUCCGCAAUGGGCGAAAGCCUGACGGAGCAACGCCGCGUGAGUGAUGAAGGUCUUCGGAUCGUAAAACUCUGUUAUUAGGGAAGAACAUACGUGUAAGUAACUAUGCACGUCUGA